UGAGGAAUAUUGCGCAAUGGGCGAAAGCCUGACGCAGCAACGCCGCGUGGAUGAUGAAGUUCUUCGGAAUGUAAAAUCCUUUUGCAGAGGAAGAAAAUGCUGGUUUACCGGCACUGACGGUACUCUGCGAAUAAGCCACGGCUAACUCUGUGCCAGCAGCCGCGGUAAUACGUAGGACACGAGCGUUAUCCGGAUUUACUGGGCGUAAAGCGCCUGUAGGCGGUUUUUCAAGUCGUUUGUGAAAGCCCUGGGCUCAACCUGGGGAGGCCAAGCGAUACUGAAGGACUUGAGGGUGACAGAGGGGAUGGGAAUUUCCGGUGUAGCGGUAAAAUGCGCAGAUAUCGGGAGGAACACCAGUGGCGAAGGCGGCUCCCUGGGGUCACACCGAGACGCUGAGAG
RNAcentral lists this ribosomal RNA (399 nucleotides) under uncultured bacterium. RNAcentral describes it as "bacterial SSU rRNA". It matches the Rfam family "Bacterial small subunit ribosomal RNA", at positions 355 to 752 of the family's 1533-position model. The record is from RNAcentral.